This 67-nucleotide transfer RNA is filed under the name Chamaeleo namaquensis. Its description in RNAcentral is "tRNA-Ala". Lineage: Eukaryota; Metazoa; Chordata; Lepidosauria; Squamata; Chamaeleonidae. The record is from RNAcentral.
GAAAGUCUGUUGAAACUAUCAACAUCUUCUAAAUGCAACUCAGACACUUUAAUUAAGCUAAGACUUC